UUUGAGUAAGCAGGUCCAGCCCAGAGCUCUCCGAAUGGCAAAUUCUCACUCGAGACAACCAGCUCAUCAUUAAAUGGCGUCUCCCUUGAAGGGAUAUUUAUCGGAAUUGGAGAGCUUUUUGGAGCAGCCUUAAAGUGUGUAUUAUCAACAGUGUGAGACUUCGAGGGGGCCUUGAUAGUUGGUGAUGGUGUUUUCUGAGAGGACGAAGUAGGGGUAGAAAGAGUGCCUUUGGUGACAGUAGUGCCGCAAGUAUUGAAGGAGGUUGGCAGUACUCGUGACCCAGAUUGGAAAGUCCGGCAAUUGAUC
RNAcentral lists this unclassified non-coding RNA (306 nucleotides) under Hevea brasiliensis (rubber tree). The record is from RNAcentral. Lineage: Eukaryota; Viridiplantae; Streptophyta; Magnoliopsida; Malpighiales; Euphorbiaceae.